AUAACACCUAAAUCCACCAAAGUUAGGCCCAAUAUGUUGCAAGGAACCCAAAUUUACAUCCGGUUCUUCGACCUAGACAACCUGAACCGACCAGCAGCUGCCAAGACAUGCCGCCCUAUCGUUUUACUGGCAAAGAAGACCCCCAACACCAAGCUAGGCAAAGAAACACAAUGAAUCUCCCAACAAUAAACGCCAUAAAAAACAACUCAUUAAAACCCAAGGAGUACCACUACCACAUACGUCUUAUAUAGCUCAAGAAUCUGAAGGUCAAAGAAGAACCCCAAGCCAAAGGAAAGAAGCGCCAUCAAAGCAUCGGAUCAUCAGUGGAGGAAGAGGUGCCAUCCUUACUCACAAUCCCAUCCUCACACUAUCACAAGUCAAGGGAAGCACGCCGAUGUUUGAUUG
This 405-nucleotide unclassified non-coding RNA is filed under the name Hevea brasiliensis (rubber tree). The record is from RNAcentral. Lineage: Eukaryota; Viridiplantae; Streptophyta; Magnoliopsida; Malpighiales; Euphorbiaceae.